Molecule: unclassified non-coding RNA, 190 nt
Filed under: soil metagenome
Description: partial internal transcribed spacer 1
Source: RNAcentral
CACAAUAAAAUAUGAAGGCUGUACGCGGCUGUGCUCUCGGGCCAGUUUUGCGGAGGCUGAAUUAUUUGUUACCCUUGUCUUUUGCGCACUUGUUGUUUCCUGGGGCGGGUUCGCCCGCCACCAGGACCACAUCAUAAACCUUUUUUAUGCAGUUGCAAUCAGCGUCAGUAUAACAAAUGUAAAUCAUUUA